UACGGAGGGUGCGAGCGUUGUCCGGAAUCACUGGGCGUAAAGGGCGCGUAGGCGGCGCGGGAAGUCCGUGGUGAAAGCCCGAGGCUCAACUUCGGGUCGGCCAUGGAUACUCCUGGGCUUGAGCACUGUAGAGGCAGGUGGAAUUCCGGGUGUAGCGGUGGAAUGCGUAGAGAUCCGGAAGAACACCGGUGGCGAAGGCGGCCUGCUGGGCAGUGGCUGACGCUGAGGCGCGACAGCGUGGGGAGCAAACAGG
This 253-nucleotide ribosomal RNA is filed under the name uncultured bacterium. RNAcentral describes it as "partial 16S ribosomal RNA". It matches the Rfam family "Bacterial small subunit ribosomal RNA", at positions 524 to 776 of the family's 1533-position model. The record is from RNAcentral.